GUGAGCAUGCCUGUCGGG
This 18-nucleotide small nuclear RNA is filed under the name Arabidopsis thaliana (thale cress). Its description in RNAcentral is "snRNA_03071". Lineage: Eukaryota; Viridiplantae; Streptophyta; Magnoliopsida; Brassicales; Brassicaceae. The record is from RNAcentral.